This 509-nucleotide ribosomal RNA is filed under the name uncultured Pseudoclavibacter sp. Its description in RNAcentral is "bacterial SSU rRNA". It matches the Rfam family "Bacterial small subunit ribosomal RNA", at positions 1 to 507 of the family's 1533-position model. Lineage: Bacteria; Bacillati; Actinomycetota; Actinomycetes; Micrococcales; Microbacteriaceae. The record is from RNAcentral.
GGUCGUCGUACGCGUAGUCAGAGAGUACGUGCUCGCGCACGGACGACGCUGGCGGCGUGCGUUAACACAUGCAAGUCGAACGAUGAAGCCCAGCUUGCUGGGUGGAUUAGUGGCGAACGGGUGAGUAACACGUGAGCAACGUGCCCAUAACUCUGGGAUAACCUCCGGAAACGGUGGCUAAUACUGGAUAUCUAACACGAUCGCAUGGUCUGUGUUUGGAAAGAGUUUUUUGGUUAUGGAUCGGCUCACGGCCUAUCAGCUUGUUGGUGAGGUAAUGGCUCACCAAGGCGACGACGGGUAGCCGGCCUGAGAGGGUGACCGGCCACACUGGGACUGAGACACGGCCCAGACUCCUACGGGAGGCAGCAGUGGGGAAUAUUGCACAAUGGGCGAAAGCCUGACGCAGCAACGCCGCGUGAGGGAUGACGGCCUUCGGGUUGUAAACCUCCUUUAGUAGGGAAGAAGCGAAAGUGACGGUACCUGCAGAAAAAGCACCGGCUAACUACGUG